Molecule: non-coding RNA, 28 nt
Filed under: Rattus norvegicus (Norway rat)
Lineage: Eukaryota; Metazoa; Chordata; Mammalia; Rodentia; Muridae
Source: RNAcentral
UCCCUGUGAAGUAUUGUUUGCCCGUAGA